RNAcentral lists this long non-coding RNA (286 nucleotides) under Fukomys damarensis (Damara mole-rat). RNAcentral describes it as "lncRNA (ENSFDAG00000026687.1)". The record is from RNAcentral. Lineage: Eukaryota; Metazoa; Chordata; Mammalia; Rodentia; Bathyergidae.
AUGCCUUCUCCAGGGCAGCAGAGGAGCUACACACAGGUUUAUGAGGUUGAAAAGAAAAAAUAGCCCCUGGCGAUAGCCGAUGGAUUGGCCCGCAGGUCUGUGUGCAGGUUGCAUGUGAACUCGAGAAGAGACGCACGGAGCUGCCAAGUGGGGUUGAAUCCCGGGUAAUGUUUGCAGCCACAAAAUGGAAGCAGCCUGGGACCCUGAAAAGAAUCUCCCAGCACACACAAGACCAUAAUUCAGUGAUCAUGGAAUAGAAGAUAAACACAGCCUAGCAUAUCGACAC